RNAcentral lists this long non-coding RNA (2683 nucleotides) under Salmo salar (Atlantic salmon). RNAcentral describes it as "lncRNA (ENSSSAG00000113890.1)". The stretch from base 1868 to 1921 matches the Rfam family "UnaL2 LINE 3' element". Lineage: Eukaryota; Metazoa; Chordata; Actinopteri; Salmoniformes; Salmonidae. The record is from RNAcentral.
UUAGGGUUCAUGUUGCACUCCCUAAAGCCUCCACUAGAUGUCAACAGUCUUUAGAACCUUGUUUGGGGAUUCUAUGUUGAAUUUGAAGGGAAUAACAGCCCAAGGAAGUAGGUGUCCCAUUAUAAGGCAUGGGUUCAGUCACGCGCAGGGACUUGGGAGCGAGCUGAGUUCACAUUCAUUCCUAAAGAGAACGGAUAGGUCCGGUUGGAAUUUUAUUGAAGAUAUGUGUUAAAAACAACCUAAAGAUUGAUUCUAUACAUCGUUUGACGUUUCUACAAACUGUAGUAGAACUUUUUUGACUUUUCAUCUGGACUAAGUAAGCACGCGCCUUGUGGAUUUGGAUAGUGAACCUAACGUGUGAACAAAAUGUAUGUAUUUGGACAUAAAGAUAAACUUUAUCAAACAUUUAUUGUGGAGCUGAGAUUCCUGGGAGUGCAUUCUGAUGAAGAUAAUCAAAGGGACCAGAAAAGAAGGGAAGCGAGGCGGAGGAGUGGCUGUGGUGGACAUCUAUCACUGAAUGUGAAUUGGCGAGCUCUGGGCACUGGGGUGCUAAGGCAAGGUACUGCAUGGACAAUUACUGAUGCCAAAGUAAAAGUAAGAAAAGGAGGGAAAAUGACAAGAGGAAGAAAAAAGAGCAAAGAGAGGGGAAACUGAGAGACUUCCAGUCCAAAAGCUUCCACCUCGUUGGUGUGGUAUACGUUUCUGCGUGUGACAGCAGAGAAUGAUUCAUAUCCUGUGAUGCGUAUGGUUUUGACAGUAUGAGUUAUUCCCCUCCCUUUGGCUAGAUAGUCUUUUGUGUUGUGUUGGGCUGGCUGAGGAAGGGGAGGUCAGUAGGAUGAAAUGGAAGCUUUUCUAUCACUGCUCCACUGGUCUGAGUCGGCUUGCCAGGAGGAGGAAACAGGCGGGACGACCUCAAUGGUCUCUCUGUACUCUCUGUACUGUACCUCACGCACACACACACACACACACACACACACACACACACACACACACACACACACACACACACACACACACACACACACACACACACACACACACACACACACACAGAGAAACAGUCAUCAUUUACCACUUCCUGUUUCUACCAGCUCUGACAGUCAAACGUCAAAUUUAGAAGUUGUUCAAAAAGUCAAAUUUACAAGUAUUUAAAGUUAAGUUUAGGCAUUAACACAAAAAUCUUUAAUUUAGGGUUACGUUUAUGCAUUAACUGCACAUUUUUAAGGUAUAAGUUAACCUCAAUUUCUCAUUCUUAUUAUAUUAAUUCUCAUUCUUAUUAUAUUAAUUCUUAUUAUAUUCAUUCUCAUUAUAGUAAUUUUCAUUUUUAUUAUAUUAAUUAUCAUUCUUAUAUUAAUUCUCAUUCUUAUUAUAUGAAUUACCUUUCUUGUUAUAUUAAUUCUCAUUCUUAUUAAAUUAAUUCUCAUUCUUAUUAUAUUAAUUCUCAUUCUUAUUACAUGAAUUUACCAUUGUUAUUAUAUUCAUUCCCAUUCUUAUUAUAUUCAUUCUCAUUCUUAUUGUCACGGUUGUUGUAUGAUGAAGGAGCGGAUCAAAGUGCAGCGUGUGUAUCGUUCCACAUUUUCUUUAUUAAACUGUGAAACUAUGCAAUACAUACAAAUAAACUGAAGAACAAAAAACAACAAACCGUGACGAAGAGGUGAAACUCACACUAACUCAAAAACAAUCUCCCACAAACCCAGGUGGAAAAAACAACUACUUAAGUAUGAUCUCCAAUUAGAGACAACGAUGACCAGCUGCCUCUAAUUGGAGAUCAUCCCAAAAAAACAACAUAGAAUUACAAAAACUAGAACAUAACAACAUAGAAAAUCUAAACUAGAAAACCCCCCUGUCAUGCCCUGACCUACUCUACCAUAGAAAAAUUUGUAAGUCGCUCUGGAUAAGAGCGUCUGCUAAAUGACUUAAAUGUAAAUGUAAAUGUAAAAUAACAGCUUUCUAUGGUCAGGACGUGACACAUAUUUUAUUAAUUCGCAUUCUUAUUAUAAUAAUUCUCAUUGUUAUUAUAUUCAUUCUUAGUAUAUUCUUAGUAUAUUCAUAAAUAAAAAGUUACAUGCAACUGAAAAAUUGGAGGAGCAGAAGAGGUGGGUCUGGCGCAUGUGCACCAAAAACAAAAGGUAUUUUUCCGGUUGCAUGUAACUUUUUAUUGAGAUCUUUUUGAAGUGCAUACCGGCCGUAGAGACAGUAAUGACGAUAGUUUCACUCCAUUCUUUGGUAAGUAAAGAACAAAUUUGUACAUUAUUAAACUUUAAAUACUGGUGAAUGGCAUGUUGAAAGGCUGUUUUCUGGGCUUAAAGGAGAAUCACCCACAUUCAAUGUCUCCUGUAAACCCAGAUUCUAGUUCAUAUUUACUGUAUGUUUUGACCUGCACAAUCUCAAACAAACGUCGGGCUUUUCAGUGUUUGAAAAGAAGGAUAAGGAGCAUUCCAGUAAAACAGUUGAUGUACUGUCCUAUAUGUGUUCUGGGACAAGAUAGGGACCCAACAUUUCUGUCAAUGUCCUCAAGUAUUUAUGAUCAACAUGUCCUGAGUCAAAUGAUCAACGAUGCAUCGACAGUUCCAUAAUUUCUUUACAACUUCCCAGUAGAUUAGGAUUGGCCUUUGACCACCGACGACAAACCACCUUUAGGAUUAGGAUAGGUCUUCGACCACCGACGACCAACCAACCUUAG